RNAcentral lists this ribosomal RNA (408 nucleotides) under uncultured bacterium. RNAcentral's name for it is "partial 16S ribosomal RNA". It matches the Rfam family "Bacterial small subunit ribosomal RNA", at positions 28 to 526 of the family's 1533-position model. The record is from RNAcentral.
GACGAACGCUGGCGGCGUGCUUAACACAUGCAAGUCGAACGAAGUGGCGAACGGGUGAGUAACGCGUAAUCAACCUGCCCUUCAGAGGGGGACAACAGUUGGAAACGACUGCUAAUACCGCAUACUGAAGGAGGGGAUUGCGUCUGAUUGGCUAGUUGGAGGGGUAACGGCUCUACAAGGCGGUGAUCAGUAGCCGGUCUGAGAGGGUGAACGGCCAAAUUGGGACUGAGACACGGCCCAGACUCCUACGGGAGGCAGCAGGUGGGAAUCUUCCGCAAUGGACGAAAGUCUGACGGAGCAACGCCGCGGGAGUGAUGACGGCCUUCGGGUGGUAAAGAUCUGUUAAUCGGGACGCGGUACCGGAAGAGAAAGCCACGGCUAACUACGUGCCAGCAGCCGCGGUAAUUC